RNAcentral lists this ribosomal RNA (1445 nucleotides) under Clavibacter michiganensis subsp. michiganensis. RNAcentral describes it as "bacterial SSU rRNA". It matches the Rfam family "Bacterial small subunit ribosomal RNA". The record is from RNAcentral. Lineage: Bacteria; Bacillati; Actinomycetota; Actinomycetes; Micrococcales; Microbacteriaceae.
CGAUUUUCCAUCGGUAUGCGUGGACUUGCCGAUUCGUAACAGGGUACCCGUAGAAUCCCGAGCCCGAUAUCUUUGGCGAACGGGUGAGUAACACGUGAGUAACCUGCCCCCGACUCUGGGAUAACUGCUAGAAAUGGUAGCUAAUACCGGAUAUGACGAUUGGCCGCAUGGUCUGGUCGUGGAAAGAAUUUCGGUUGGGGAUGGACUCGCGGCCUAUCAGGUUGUUGGUGAGGUAAUGGCUCACCAAGCCUACGACGGGUAGCCGGCCUGAGAGGGUGACCGGCCACACUGGGACUGAGACACGGCCCAGACUCCUACGGGAGGCAGCAGUGGGGAAUAUUGCACAAUGGGCGAAAGCCUGAUGCAGCAACGCCGCGUGAGGGAUGACGGCCUUCGGGUUGUAAACCUCUUUUAGUAGGGAAGAAGCGAAAGUGACGGUACCUGCAGAAAAAGCACCGGCUAACUACGUGCCAGCAGCCGCGGUAAUACGUAGGGUGCAAGCGUUGUCCGGAAUUAUUGGGCGUAAAGAGCUCGUAGGCGGUUUGUCGCGUCUGCUGUGAAAUCCCGAGGCUCAACCUCGGGUCUGCAGUGGGUACGGGCAGACUAGAGUGCGGUAGGGGAGAUUGGAAUUCCUGGUGUAGCGGUGGAAUGCGCAGAUAUCAGGAGGAACACCGAUGGCGAAGGCAGAUCUCUGGGCCGUAACUGACGCUGAGGAGCGAAAGCAUGGGGAGCGAACAGGAUUAGAUACCCUGGUAGUCCAUGCCGUAAACGUUGGGAACUAGAUGUGGGGACCAUUCCACGGUCUCCGUGUCGCAGCUAACGCAUUAAGUUCCCCGCCUGGGGAGUACGGCCGCAAGGCUAAAACUCAAAGGAAUUGACGGGGGCCCGCACAAGCGGCGGAGCAUGCGGAUUAAUUCGAUGCAACGCGAAGAACCUUACCAAGGCUUGACAUAUACCGGAAACAUGCAGAAAUGUGUGCCCCGCAAGGUCGGUAUACAGGUGGUGCAUGGUUGUCGUCAGCUCGUGUCGUGAGAUGUUGGGUUAAGUCCCGCAACGAGCGCAACCCUCGUUCUAUGUUGCCAGCACGUAAUGGUGGGAACUCAUAGGAGACUGCCGGGGUCAACUCGGAGGAAGGUGGGGAUGACGUCAAAUCAUCAUGCCCCUUAUGUCUUGGGCUUCACGCAUGCUACAAUGGCCGGUACAAAGGGCUGCGAUACCGUAAGGUGGAGCGAAUCCCAAAAAGCCGGUCUCAGUUCGGAUUGAGGUCUGCAACUCGACCUCAUGAAGUCGGAGUCGCUAGUAAUCGCAGAUCAGCAACGCUGCGGUGAAUACGUUCCCCGGCCUUGUACACACCGCCCGCCAAGUCAUGAAAGUCAAUAACUACCUUCCGGAUCCACAGCACCAGAAUAGAUCAGACGUCAGCUCAGGCACUGCAUGACUCAGCA